ACAUGCAAGUCGAGCGAGAAAAGGGUAGCAAUCACCUGAGUACAGCGGCGCACGGGUGAGUAACACGUGGGUAAUCUGCCCUGGAGUGGGGAAUAACACCGGGAAACCGGUGCUAAUACCGCAUACGAUCACGAUGUCUGCGGAUGUUGUGAUGAAAGGAGCAAUUCGCUCCAGGAGGAGCCCGCGGCUGAUUAGCUAGUUGGUGAGGUAACGGCUCACCACGGCUACGAUCAGUAUCCGGUCUGAGAGGACGGUCGGACACACUGGAACUGAGACACGGUCCAGACUCCUACGGGAGGCAGCAGUGGGGAAUCUUUGGCACUGGGGGAAACCCUGACC
Molecule: ribosomal RNA, 339 nt
Filed under: uncultured bacterium
Lineage: Bacteria
Description: bacterial SSU rRNA
Rfam family: Bacterial small subunit ribosomal RNA
Source: RNAcentral